CUCCCAAGGCCGCCGCUCCGGGCGAGGAGAGGAGAGGCUCCCCCCGGGCACAAAGCGGCAAGCACCACUCUGCACGCCCAGGAUGCCCUGGAUCCUUCCGCUGGGACCCGAGGACAGCAACGGCAGGCAGGGAGCGAACCUGACAGUCACUUGCUUGUUCCUUUGGGGCAGAGCAAACAGGUCGUGCCGAGCGCGAUGGCGUACCACUUCCCAUAGACCUGGUGAGAACAACCCGAAAGCGGCCAUCUUAAGGCCACGUCCGGCGCCCACGGCAGACUUUGGCAGAGUUUCAACCUCCGCUCCUACAAGGCUGGCGUUCCUCCUUUGGUGCCAGUCCUCCGAUAUGUGGUAUUUCUAGCUAGGAUCCCAGUCCUCGCUACGACUCUUGGCGGAGUGCAGGCACAUCCGUAAGAGUCGGAGAAAGGGCUUUAAGGGCCCCACUCCUCGUUCUAUCGUCUCAACACAAAGGGA
This is a non-coding RNA of Thamnophis sirtalis, 471 nucleotides long. The record is from RefSeq and is a predicted model, not a curated record. Lineage: Eukaryota; Metazoa; Chordata; Lepidosauria; Squamata; Natricidae.